RNAcentral lists this ribosomal RNA (468 nucleotides) under uncultured bacterium. RNAcentral describes it as "partial 16S ribosomal RNA". It matches the Rfam family "Bacterial small subunit ribosomal RNA", at positions 28 to 507 of the family's 1533-position model. The record is from RNAcentral.
GACGAACGCUGGCGGCGUGCUUAACACAUGCAAGUCGAACGGCAAGGCCCUGCUUUUGUGGGGUGCUCGAGUGGCGAACGGGUGAGUAACACGUGAGUAACCUGCCCUUGACUUUGGGAUAACUUCAGGAAACUGGGGCUACUACCGGAUCGGAGCUCCUGCUGCAUGGUGGGGGUUGGAAAGUUUCGGCGGUUGGGGAUGGACUCGCGGCUUAUCAGCUUGCUGGUGGGGUAGUGGCUUACCAAGGCUUUGACGGGUAGCCGGCCUGAGAGGGUGACCGGCCACAUUGGGACUGAGAUACGGCCCAGACUCCUACGGGAGGCAGCAGUGGGGAAUAUGGCACAAUGGGCGGAAGCCUGAUGCAGCAACGCCGCGUGCGGGAUGACGGCCUUCGGGUUGUAAACCGCUGUCGCCUGUGACGAAGCGUGAGUGACGGUAAUGGGUAAAGAAGCGCCGGCUAACUACGUG